Molecule: non-coding RNA, 650 nt
Organism: Labrus bergylta (ballan wrasse)
Lineage: Eukaryota; Metazoa; Chordata; Actinopteri; Labriformes; Labridae
Source: RefSeq, a predicted model, not a curated record
ACAGGAAGUGCCCUGCCUAUAAAGGAAGCAGGAAGUUGAGGGUUCCUUCUUUAAUCUUCAAGGCUGCACAGAGCAGGCAGCAACAGAAAUGGCAGCCUGAUCAAAACAAGAUGAAGAGCUGUUAGCAUGUUUGCUACACCACGCUGCUUCACCUGCUUCAUUCAACAUUUGGUGUUUCCUUGCUCUGAACUCUGAAGAGUAGGAUCUGUGCUGCAGCUGGAAGGAGUUUCUUUGGAUUAAAGUUUACUUGUUAGCUGUUUUAGUUUGCUUUCAGCUAUAGUUUAAAGUCUGUUUUCUUUAAUUUUCAUUUGCAGUUUUCUCUGAAUACACUUUAAUAAUAAAAUGUCUUAAUUUGUCUCAUGUUUGUGUUGUCAGCAUCUUUAAUGCCUAAUAGAUGUUUUGUAGUAGUUUCCUUUGUCACAAAGCUGUGAGAGUUGCUUUCAUUAGAUAAAAGAAUACAAGGAACAAUGUAAGCUUUAAACUACUAUAAAUAAAACACAAAUGGCAGAUAACCAGAGCACAGAAGUCACUGAUGCUGAAUGGAUAAAGCAGUAGUUUUAUUACAACAUUCAGGAGACAAGUUCACAUCAGCACAACACAAUAAGGUGUCACCGGCAUCCCCAUUGGGUAGGAGACUCAAAGGGUUCUUA